AUUGAACGCUGGCGGCAGGCUUAACACAUGCAAGUCGAGCGGUAACACUUCGGGUGACGAGCGGCGGACGGGUGAGUAAUACAUAGGAAUCUGCCUAGUAGUGGGGGACAACGUAGGGAAACUUACGCUAAUACCGCAUACAUCCUACGGGGGAAAGCAGGGGAUCUUCGGACCUUGCGCUAUUAGAUGAGCCUAUGUCGGAUUAGCUAGUUGGUGAGGUAAAGGCUCACCAAGGCGACGAUCCGUAGCUGGUCUGAGAGGAUGAUCAGCCACACUGGGACUGAGACACGGCCCAGACUCCUACGGGAGGCAGCAGUGGGGAAUAUUGGACAAUGGGCGCAAGCCUGAUCCAGCCAUGCCGCGUGUGUGAAGAAGGCCUCGGUUGUAAG
This 389-nucleotide ribosomal RNA is filed under the name uncultured bacterium. RNAcentral's name for it is "bacterial SSU rRNA". It matches the Rfam family "Bacterial small subunit ribosomal RNA", at positions 30 to 429 of the family's 1533-position model. The record is from RNAcentral.